This 728-nucleotide ribosomal RNA is filed under the name Pseudomonas koreensis. RNAcentral's name for it is "bacterial SSU rRNA". It matches the Rfam family "Bacterial small subunit ribosomal RNA", at positions 61 to 784 of the family's 1533-position model. Lineage: Bacteria; Pseudomonadati; Pseudomonadota; Gammaproteobacteria; Pseudomonadales; Pseudomonadaceae. The record is from RNAcentral.
GUCGAGCGGAUGAAGAGAGCUUGCUCUCUGAUUCAGCGGCGGACGGGUGAGUAAUGCCUAGGAAUCUGCCUGGUAGUGGGGGACAACGUUUCGAAAGGAACGCUAAUACCGCAUACGUCCUACGGGAGAAAGCAGGGGACCUUCGGGCCUUGCGCUAUCAGAUGAGCCUAGGUCGGAUUAGCUAGUUGGUGAGGUAAUGGCUCACCAAGGCGACGAUCCGUAACUGGUCUGAGAGGAUGAUCAGUCACACUGGAACUGAGACACGGUCCAGACUCCUACGGGAGGCAGCAGUGGGGAAUAUUGGACAAUGGGCGAAAGCCUGAUCCAGCCAUGCCGCGUGUGUGAAGAAGGUCUUCGGAUUGUAAAGCACUUUAAGUUGGGAGGAAGGGUUGUAGAUUAAUACUCUGCAAUUUUGACGUUACCGACAGAAUAAGCACCGGCUAACUCUGUGCCAGCAGCCGCGGUAAUACAGAGGGUGCAAGCGUUAAUCGGAAUUACUGGGCGUAAAGCGCGCGUAGGUGGUUUGUUAAGUUGGAUGUGAAAGCCCCGGGCUCAACCUGGGAACUGCAUUCAAAACUGACAAGCUAGAGUAUGGUAGAGGGUGGUGGAAUUUCCUGUGUAGCGGUGAAAUGCGUAGAUAUAGGAAGGAACACCAGUGGCGAAGGCGACCACCUGGACUGAUACUGACACUGAGGUGCGAAAGCGUGGGGAGCAAACAGGAUUAGAUA